GGCGCGUUACCCAACAGGUAACGCGCU
This 27-nucleotide small RNA is filed under the name Serratia symbiotica str. Tucson. RNAcentral describes it as "Tke1 RNA". The record is from RNAcentral. Lineage: Bacteria; Pseudomonadati; Pseudomonadota; Gammaproteobacteria; Enterobacterales; Yersiniaceae.